RNAcentral lists this ribosomal RNA (1233 nucleotides) under Triticum aestivum (bread wheat). Its description in RNAcentral is "partial small subunit ribosomal RNA". The record is from RNAcentral. Lineage: Eukaryota; Viridiplantae; Streptophyta; Magnoliopsida; Poales; Poaceae.
AUGCCGUCUUCGAAGCCGCGCCCGGACGCCUCCAGCUCCGCCGACCUGCCCGCGGACGCGCUGUACGAGGUCCUCCUUCGCAUCCCCGCCAAGGACCUCUGCCGCCUCCGCGCCGUCUGCCCAGCCUGGCGCGCCCUCACCCACGACCCGCUCUUCGUCGCCGCGCACAGGUCCCGCCACACGACCCCGCUCCUCGCCGUGGCCUACCAGGAGGACGGUAACCAUAAUGGUGUUGUGAUUUCGGAUCUGUCGGGCAACGUGGUGAAGCGGAUUCCAAACACCGAUUACGAAGUUGUUCUGAUGAAGGUGAUGAAUCAUGCCGCUGGCCGGAUCUACGAUAGCAUCCGUGUUGUGCGCACGCGGCUAGACCGCAUCUGCUUCAACUGGGUUGUCCGCUCUCGGGCCUUCUCGGUGCUGAACCCGGCCACCGGAGCUACUAUCUCCUUCCCGGUGGGCUUAUCGGAGGAAUUGGAGCAUGAACUAGAGGGAAUGAUAUGGCGCUGCCGAAUCGAGUCCUGUGCUUUUGGGCAUGUCUCCUCUACCGGAGGGUACAAGGCGCUCCGUGUCUCUAGCAUUGAUGACCGACAGGUAAGUGAGGUUAUCACCUUUGAUGACACCAACCAUGGAUGCUGGAGGAGAAAGCAGGACCCUCCGUCCAGUAUCUGUACAGGUCGCAAGGUGAGAUGCGUGGUCGUCGAUGUGGUGGUCUACUUCUUGAUGGAUUAUAACUCCACAUACAAUGAGUCCGGUGUUAUGACUAUUGAGCCUGGUAGCAUGGCUUCUUUCAACCUCGAGACGGAGGAGUGGGGUGUUCUACCUGGUCCAGAACAGGUCCAGAGGUUUGUGCAAGAGAACAAUGCUUACAAUUACUCAGAACUUGAGUUCCGGUUAUCAUUGGCUGAGUUGGACGGCUGCUUAGUUGUGGUUCAUAAUAUUCAUUACAAAUCUAUGGACUUGUGGUUUUUGACAGAUUUUGAGAAAGGUACCUGGGUUAAGAGAUACAGCAUGCCUUCACAUGUUGCUAGGCCUUAUAGGUAUCCUUUUCUGAUGUUAGAUGGUGGGGGAAUUUUCUUCAGUGGUUCGAAUGGUCGACAAGGUUUAUUUAGUGUUGGAGAGCAAGGAGAGGAAUUUGUGCGAAGUUAUGAUUCAAGAAGUGACACUUACUCUGAUGUGCUAAAACUGAAAGAUUCCAGAUCCAUUAGCAUUUGCACAGGAAGCCUGCUGAGUUUGUAG